RNAcentral lists this transfer RNA (72 nucleotides) under Rhabdobacter roseus. It matches the Rfam family "tRNA". Rfam says of the family: Transfer RNA (tRNA) molecules are approximately 80 nucleotides in length. Lineage: Bacteria; Pseudomonadati; Bacteroidota; Cytophagia; Cytophagales; Cytophagaceae. RNAcentral also lists the same sequence under 5 other names. The record is from Rfam by way of RNAcentral.
GACCCCGUAGUUCAACGGAUAGAAUAGAAGUUUCCUAAACUUUAGAUAUGGGUUCGAUUCCCGUCGGGGUCA